Molecule: ribosomal RNA, 809 nt
Filed under: uncultured bacterium
Lineage: Bacteria
Description: bacterial SSU rRNA
Rfam family: Bacterial small subunit ribosomal RNA
Source: RNAcentral
AGAGUUUGAUCCUGGCUCAGAACGAACGCUGGCGGCGUGCUUAACACAUGCAAGUCGAACGUGAUCCGGAGCUUGCUCCGGUGAAAGUGGCGCACGGGUGAGUAACGCGUGGAUAAUCUGCCCUGGUAUCUGGGAUAACAUCUCGAAAGGGGUGCUAAUACCGGAUAAGCCUACGGUCUCUUCGGAGUCUGCAGGAAAAGGUGGCCUCUAUUUAUAAGCUACCGUAUCAGGAUGAGCCUGCGUCCCAUUAGCUAGUUGGCGGGGCAAAGGCCCACCAAGGCUGAGAUGGGUAGCUGGUCUGAGAGGAUGAUCAGCCACACUGGAACUGGAACACGGUCCAGACUCCUACGGGAGGCAGCAGUGAGGAAUUUUGCGCAAUGGGGGAAACCCUGACGCAGCAACGCCGCGUGAGUGAUGAAGGCCUUCGGGUCGUAAAGCUCUGUCGAGUGGGAAGAAACCGUUCAGAUUAAUAACCUGAACCUUGACGGUACCACUAAAGGAAGCACCGGCUAACUCCGUGCCAGCAGCCGCGGUAAUACGGGGGGUGCAAGCGUUAUUCGGAAUUAUUGGGCGUAAAGGGUGCGUAGGCGGUUUUGUAAGUCAGAUGUGAAAUCCCGGGGCUUAACCCCGGAACUGCAUUUGAUACUGCAAGACUUGAGUAUGGGAGAGGAGAGCGGAAUUCCUGGUGUAGAGGUGAAAUUCGUAGAUAUCAGGAGGAACACCGGUGGCGAAGGCGGCUCUCUGGACCAAUUCUGACGCUGAGGCACGAAGGCGUGGGGAGCAAACAGGAUUAGAUACCCUGGUAGUCC